GAAAGGUUCUUGAGGGAGCGUGUGUGACGAAUGCUAGAUGAGGGGCUAAGGCCUAAUUGGGCUGGGGGUAUUGAAGAAUUGUUCAUCGUGUCAGAGUCUUUUCUCCAGAAACAAACAGGUUUCAAACUUCCCAUUGACUUGUACUCAUAAUGGCAUUCAAGGAACAAUAUCAGAGGGAGUACAACAACUCCAGAAAGCAUAGCGCAAAACAUAAUCUU
Pelobates cultripes (western spadefoot toad) is the source of this 218-nucleotide non-coding RNA. The record is from the annotation of a GenBank genome assembly. Lineage: Eukaryota; Metazoa; Chordata; Amphibia; Anura; Pelobatidae.